RNAcentral lists this ribosomal RNA (492 nucleotides) under uncultured bacterium. RNAcentral describes it as "partial 16S ribosomal RNA". It matches the Rfam family "Bacterial small subunit ribosomal RNA", at positions 29 to 507 of the family's 1533-position model. The record is from RNAcentral.
AUUGAACGCUGGCGGCAUGCUUUACACAUGCAAGUCGAACGGUAACAGGCCUUCGGGUGCUGCCGAGUGGCGAACGGGUGAGUAAUGCAUCGGAACGUACCCAGAGGUGGGGGAUAACGCAGCGAAAGCUGUGCUAAUACCGCAUGUGAUCUGAGGAUGAAAGCGGGGGACCGAGCAGCAAUGUUUGGCCUCGCGCCUUUGGAGCGGCCGAUGUCGGAUUGGCUAGUUGGUGGGGUAAAGGCCUACCAAGGCGACGAUCCGUAGCUGGUCUGAGAGGACGACCAGCAACACUGGAACUGGGACACGGCCCAGACUCCUACGGGAGGCAGCAGUGGGGAAUUUUGGACAAUGGGCGCAAGCCUGAUCCAGCAAUGCCGCGGGCGGGAGGAGGGCCUUCGGGUUGUAAACCGCUUUUGGCAGGAACGAAACGGUGUCCGCUAAUACCGGGCGCUAAUGACGGUACCUGCAGAAUAAGCACCGGCUAACUACGUG